UAACAUAAAAAGAAACAUACUGGAAAACACCUAAGUAUGAAAAAUUCCUCAAAUUCAGGGUGUGUUCAUACAAAGUGAAAUUUCUACAGUGUGGAAAUCAUUAAACCUGAUUCAGAAAAAAUGUGAGGUGCCCCAGCCAUUGAGAUGUGAAUCUCUUUAAUCCACACAAGCAUUAGAAAAAUCUGAAACAUGUGAAAGUUCAAAAGCUGCAAAGCCAUUACAUGACUUCUUAUUCAUUUCUCAAAUAUUGUAACUUUCUAUUGAACUGUGAAAAGGCUUUUUCUUGUAUUUUUUUUUCUUUUCAUAAGCAAUAGAUCAGUCAGUCACUAAUGUUACUGCACAUUGUGAAGCUGAAGGUGAGUUUUACUUGGUUAUAUCUGCUUGGAUUUAAUUUCUUGAUUUAUUUUAAAGCAUUUAUGUAGCAUUUCAAUAGUUGGUAACUUGCACCUUUUCAGCAGUUGCUCUUAGGGAGGGGGAAAUGGCAAGACCUGAUACAAUUUUUAACUUUUUUUUAAGUUCCCAACCGAUUUCACAGUAAGUUUAGAAGUAAUUUUAAUGACUAGCUCUAACUUUGCAUGAGGGCUUUUUAACUGUACGUGUGCUACUUAAAAAAAGACAACUAAAAAACUAAUAAAACCAAAACUACACAAAAUACCUUUUUUUCAGCUUAACUUCACAGCUCUGAAGUACACCAAGAGGACCUUUCAGAUCUGGUGAAAACUUGCUACAGAGAAAACAGAAGGAUCCAGUCUGUUGUUGCCUUUCUCCUUGCACACCGCCUUGCUGAACUCUAUCCUUCUUGGUACUUCUCACACCAGUCCUCUCCAACUGCUCCAGGCAGUGAGCCAACUGACUGCUUCGUAAUCACACUGUCUGCCUCCUUGAGUCAUGGAGAUAUGUCAUCUUUUGUAUUACUGCUCUGUGGAUGAAUCCUUAUCCUGUCCUAAUGAGGCUAUUAAAGACGAGGCAUAGCAUGGAUUCAGCAACAGGACACCACGAAGCAGCUUGGAUGGACUUUGAGUGGGUACUCCAAAAUCAGCAACACUCUAAAAGAUGGUGGUCCCAACUGGUCUGGUCUCUAUUUUUUGCUGAAACCUGCGACCUGGUUAGCUGAUAGAAGGCAAUUGGGGAUGGAAAGAACAAAACUUUCCUUGUUUCUGUUUUCAAAUAAGACAGUAAAUACAACUGCAGAUCUUUGGCCUGUGCCACAUGUCAAAUAAGGAUAAGAACCCUCUACAUG
This is a long non-coding RNA of Falco peregrinus (peregrine falcon), 1240 nucleotides long. RefSeq lists it as uncharacterized. The record is from RefSeq and is a predicted model, not a curated record. NCBI's taxonomy places the organism in Eukaryota, Metazoa, Chordata, Aves, Falconiformes, Falconidae. The transcript is spliced from 5 exons.